GUGACUUCUCCAGAACAGACAAAGGCCUGAAGAACAGAGAGAGAGAUAGAGAGAGAGGAAAUACUGUUCAGUCUGGUGGUCUGCUCUUGUUUCUGUGAGAGUUACACAUCAUGUACGCGAUUGCAUGAAGUUCACCUUGUCAGAAACACCCCCAAUUCUACCCCAUCCCAGACGGGUGUGUGCGUGUUCGUGUCCGAGCGCGUGUGUUUGAGAAACCACCAGCGUAAGGCAGAUGAUGGAAUGCAUAACACAGCUCAGGUGUACUCCUCUCCUGUCAUCCUCAAAAAGAGACCCCAGCCACAAAUCUACAUGACCCUUUCUAUUCCAAAUGUUUUACUUUACACCUGUCUUCUUGUCUUUCCCCUCCCUGUCUUAGACUGGGGGCUACAUGCAUGAAGUCUGUGUUCCAUAGAGAUCUUCACAGUGGCUGAAGAAGCACAAUCCUGCUCUCUGGUUCUACAUUGCCCAGGGUCAAUUUAAGCAGUCAUAUCUCACUGUAGAGUCAAGAACGCUUCUCUUCUCCUCCAUUGAAAGAUGUCCCAAGCGUAAUUUACACCCUCAGAUGUUCACUUGUAUAACUUUUGUAAGAUUAUUGAAGUCUUGAGAUUUCAUUUCAGAAAUAGAGUAGAUUUUUUUUCUCUCCGAUUCUAACAUUCCCGUCAGAGUGUCUUCUUCUCUUGACUUUCUUACCCUUGUCAAGUUUUUCUCCAGCUAUCAGGAAGAGAAGCUGAACACACUCCACACAGUUCAUGAGUUCUGCUGCAGAGAUUCAUGUGGCAUUGCUGCUGUGGACCUGCAGCAGGCUCCCUCUAUGACAAUAUUUACCCCAUCUCACACAUACACACAUACACACAGACAUACUCACACUAACACACAUAGACCCAACUCAAAUACCCAACCGCAACAACCCCUUCGAUUCCCUCUCAGAAAUAAAGCCGUAUUGGAGCCCCUUUCAGAUGGAAAUACGUUUGCGGGUUAUCCCGCUGCACCAAAGGGGUUGUCUGAGAGACGGGCUCCGACCAGUGAUUACCUCUUAAAUACAUAUAGAUCCAUCUCUUUGAAUGGCGGGCCAUUGAGCGGGAGAUUGGGUUAAAUUAGAUGCUAAUCAUUUUCCCUUUUCUGCUGUUGGUGAACUGAUAAGGCCUUCAGGACCACCCCUUCGUCACAGACCACAAGAGAUACACUGGAAAACGCUCUCCUCCCUUCUUUCUCCCCCUCUUUAUGGUAAUGCAGGGAGUGUGCCUCCCCAUUUAGAUUUGCCUCUCACUCUCUCUGUCACCCGCUCGUUCACUCGCUGCAUUUAAUAAGAAGAAAGAAGAAGAAGAAGAUAAGUUGUGAGGCUCAGACUGAAAGCUCGGGACGCAUUUACUUUUCAGCAGGGUUGAAAUAGCCCCAGUUAAACCGAAGGAAGAAACAUCACAACCCACUCCCCUCUCUUUUCAAAGAGAAAAUAAGACGGAAGAGAGAGAGAAACUGUUGUGCGAAAUCCUUCAAUUUCCCAAAGAGAGUUAGAUGAUUAUUCACUUGGAUGCUGUUCCAUGCCAGGGGCAUAACUGUGUCUUCCCUGACCAAUGGAAGACUUGUGUAUCAGGAUGUGUAUGUUCAAUCUAACUAACUUCACUGUACAUCUAUUAGUGUAUAUCAUGACACGAGAUAGAUUAAUGGACUUGGAUUGUUAAGCUUUCUUACGCCAGUAUGAUGAACUGAGAGUAUGUUCGUGUAAUGACGUUUCAAGGUUUUGUAAAUUAACGAUUUUCUUCACAAUGCGAAGUAAAAAGCUCCAUAAUAUGAUUGCAAUCUGGAAAGAAAAUUCAGCUGUUGUUGGAAAUGUUUGUGCUGGUAUUUGAAGGUGACUGUUACAACAUGUGUACUGUAGCCAGUGUGUACUACACACACACACACACAGACAUGAAAGCAGAGCAAGACAGGUGCUGGGGCAAACUGAACGAACCCAGACCCCACGCAUCCCUUAAUAUCUACUGUAAAGAUUCCUCUGUGGUGUGUGUGUGUGUGUGUGUGUGUGUGUGUGUGUGUGUGUGUGUGUGUGUGUGUGUGUGUGUGUGUGUGUGUGUGUGUGUGCGUGUGUGUGUGUGUGUG
Long non-coding RNA from Oncorhynchus tshawytscha (Chinook salmon), 2097 nucleotides. The record is from Ensembl. Lineage: Eukaryota; Metazoa; Chordata; Actinopteri; Salmoniformes; Salmonidae.